UACGGAGGGUGCGAGCGUUGUCCGGAAUCACUGGGCGUAAAGGGCGCGUAGGCGGCUGGGGAAGUCGGCGGUGAAAGCCCGGAGCUCAACUCCGGGUCGGCCGUCGAGACUCCUCGGCUCGAGCUCACUAGAGGCAGAUGGAAUUCCGGGUGUAGCGGUGGAAUGCGUAGAGAUCCGGAAGAACACCGGUGGCGAAGGCGGCCUGCUGGGGUGAGGCUGACGCUGAUGCGCGACAGCGUGGGGAGCAAACAGG
This 253-nucleotide ribosomal RNA is filed under the name uncultured bacterium. Its description in RNAcentral is "partial 16S ribosomal RNA". It matches the Rfam family "Bacterial small subunit ribosomal RNA", at positions 524 to 776 of the family's 1533-position model. The record is from RNAcentral.